Molecule: ribosomal RNA, 157 nt
Filed under: Akanthomyces tuberculatus
Lineage: Eukaryota; Fungi; Ascomycota; Sordariomycetes; Hypocreales; Cordycipitaceae
Also listed under: 1 other name
Description: 5.8S ribosomal RNA
Rfam family: 5.8S ribosomal RNA
About the family: 5.8S ribosomal RNA (5.8S rRNA) is a component of the large subunit of the eukaryotic ribosome.
Source: RNAcentral
AAACUUUCAACAACGGAUCUCUUGGCUCUGGCAUCGAUGAAGAACGCAGCGAAAUGCGAUACGUAAUGUGAAUUGCAGAAUCCAGUGAAUCAUCGAAUCUUUGAACGCACAUUGCGCCCGCCAGCAUUCUGGCGGGCAUGCCUGUCCGAGCGUCAUA